This 85-nucleotide transfer RNA is filed under the name Candidatus Nasuia deltocephalincola. RNAcentral describes it as "Candidatus Nasuia deltocephalinicola tRNA-Leu". It matches the Rfam family "tRNA". Rfam says of the family: Transfer RNA (tRNA) molecules are approximately 80 nucleotides in length. Their secondary structure includes four short double-helical elements and three loops (D, anti-codon, and T loops). Lineage: Bacteria; Pseudomonadati; Pseudomonadota; Betaproteobacteria. The record is from RNAcentral.
AUCUGAGUGGCGAAAUUGGUAAACGCAAAGAACUCAAAAUUCUUCGCUUUAAUAAAGCUUAUCGGUUCAAAUCCGUUCUCAGAUA